Long non-coding RNA from Eriocheir sinensis (Chinese mitten crab), 6474 nucleotides. RefSeq lists it as uncharacterized. The record is from RefSeq and is a predicted model, not a curated record. Lineage: Eukaryota; Metazoa; Arthropoda; Malacostraca; Decapoda; Varunidae. The transcript has 4 exons.
GUGUUGAUGGUUCAAAGAAAAAGGAUCUACUCUCUUUAUUAUCAACCUCGUUUAUCACCGUCAGAGUAAGACAAUAGGAUUAAAUUAAUUACGUACGUCUCAGUGCUUUGUCUUCCUUUCUUGUUAAGUGUUGCACUGCCGUCACCACCUAGCGCGGCAACACUUUAAGGCAGAGAGUAGCGCCGAUACAUUCUCAUCUACAGACAAUCACACACACACACACACACACACAGACCUUUCCAAACAGAAGGCCAUUGGUUCCUAGUAUUAGGGAGCGCAAUGCCAACGCUGCAGAUGCGAGUUUAUUCAUCUCAAGACUAAGAAAUCGUGCUUCUUUGAACGGAGCUGUGUGUGUGAACCAAACAGUCGGUGGGCGCAUAGUCUUCCCGUGGGCGUGUUAUCAGGUGGAAAAUUAAAUGCUCCACUUCAUGAUUUUACUCGGCAGAGAAGAUAACCUGCACACACACACACACACACAACCGCCCCGCUGCUCUACUUACAAGGCCGCCACUCAGCCGCAGCGGUGACGGCCCGGCCCGCUGUCGGGACAACGGCCGCGGCCCCGAGUUAGGCGCCCCGCGGUCACUGUAUCGGGAGAGCGGGGCGGGUGGCAGUACCGAGGCCUGGCUAGAGGGCUGCUGCAGGGGCGUCGGCGGGCGGGGCCACUGCCGGGGGCACAGCAGCUGGCGGCGGCCACGUCCUUUAGAGACCGGCGCAGCGGGUGUCGCACAGGCGCGGUGUCCAGAUCCAUGGACGGUUCACCUGUUCACGUCAACUCAUGCCAUCAAUUGUGUACAAACGAACAACUCGAGACAACCAAGGCCGCGGAGGGCUGGCGACGAAGGUGUGAGAACGCAAGCAAUAAGAGUCGUCGCUGCCUGGCCACGGGCGGAGGCGAGCCGCGGUGGCGUGCGGCCGGCGGCUCCCUCCACAACACGAGAACAACAAACAACAGAACCAAAAACCUUUCAGACGCUGUGGGGGACGGACUGACCAUGAGCACCUGUGUUGCUUUAUUUACAAGUUGUCUGUGCAGAGUCAAUUAACAUUUCCAGGGGCGGCGUGUGUGCGGGCUGGCGGCCACGACGCAUGUUCCUGGGCCUGCAGGCGGCCAGGCGCGGACGCCGCCCACCACCGGCAGAGCGUCCCCGUCAGUCGACAACUGACAGACGACCUAAACAAGAUAGACAGACUGACGGCAGGCCAGACCAAACUUUGCCGGGCCCGCGAAACAAACAACAAACCUUGGACGUGCUCGCCGGGUGAGUUUCCAAACCUAUUGGUUGUGUUGGUUAGUCUUUAAUGGCAAUGCUCGACAUACAGGGCUGCAUGUAGCUGUUAGGUGUUAGCAAGUCGCCCUUGCCCGCCUAGUGGCUGCAGCUGCCGUGUCUCCCGCUGACUUCUGCCUCCCUGUACCCGGCCGGGUGUCAUCGGAGGACUAGCGGAGUGCCGCGGCGCUUCGCAGCCAGCCCGCCGAGGCUCCUCCUCUCGCCGGCCAUUGGCUCGUGCAACACACAAAAUGGCGGACCAUGGCCACUGCGCAUGCGCUCUGCCACCUUAAAACCUUCACGGCAUAUUUCUUUUUUCACAUUAUCUCCAAAUUGUUUAAAUAAUUUUUUCGUUCGUGAUGUAUUGAGUGAAGCCGUACUUUUUGGGGGUCCAAACGGCGCUUGCAUCCGUAUCGCAAUCCACGCUAAUAUUUCUUAUGAUUAGAAACUUGGGAAUGGAGUUGGGAUGAGCCAUUUUUCGAGAUGCACUGAUGGAGUAAUUUAGCAACCGAGGGUAGAAUAAACGUAAUAAGUUAAUCUAAUUUAUCAUACCAGACUUAAGUUUAAUGCAAGGGGAGAGGGAACGUAUAUAACUUCGGACGAAAAGAAAAAAAAAAAAAGAUUGAGAAAGAAUAAAGAAGAAAAAAUAAAGUCCUCGUUCAACUGGCAUUCCUUUCAAGGUGCAAUGUUACUUAAUUAUCUUUUUUCUCUCUUACCUACUCUCCCUCUCACUCCUUUUAAUGUUAUCGAAUUACCCCGCGAAGGUAAUGAGGGUGAUGGGGCGUGUUGGUGGUGGUAGUGGUGAUGGCAGUGGAGAUAAUUUAUAGUGGCUCUACCUGUCUGCUCCUGGAUAUACCUACCUAAGACAAUUCCUGCCCGACUAGUGCCCGACAACAAAACAAUAAAGAAUACUGCCCGAUUGCUAAUCGGAUGCUGCUCAGUUGCUGGACGAAUGCAAAACGUCUCCGAAGUUGUCCCCCCUCCGGCAGAGUAUCAGCUGUCAUGGCGACAGCGCCUGCAGUGUCUGCUGCCCUUUGCCUGGCCCUCUUGGGUCGGGGUGCUGCUGUAGACUCUGGCUGGAACGGCAACAUUGGUGACGGGGUGUGCUCCUCCAUAAGCCGAGGAUCAUUCACCCCUUCCUCAACAAUCACACCGUUCGUUUGGAUGGCCUGGGUGGCUGGCACAGGCACAGCGGCAGGCUGUGAUGGGUUACAGUAAAAGUUUCUUGUAAAAUUUCGUGCGUAUUUGAGCUGCAGAAAAGUUGUAAAGACAAGAUGGUUCACAGAGAAAAAGACCCAUGGCUGCACAUCCAACAAAUUGUUCACUUUGUGGAAACAAAUGAGCUCCUAGACACGAUAACUGAAGGAGAGGAGAACAUUAAAACAGCAGCAACAGCAAGUUUCAUCAUGCUUUCAUUACUUUCUCCAUCCCAUCCUGAGACACCACAUGCACUUCUAAUAUAACUCAUUUCCACUGCACGUAUUCUUGACUGCUGUGCUGCAUUCCAUGUCCACAUCUCUGAUGCAUAUGACAGAGUUGGCAGGAUAAUACUAUUCCUUAUUCCCUCCUUUACCUCCAUGCUCACACUUCUUCCUUUCAUAACUCUCUCCAAUGCACCCACCACCUGUCUGCCUUUCACUGCUCUUUCCCUCACGUCACCUUCCAUACUUCCAUGCUCAUAUAAAACUGUCCCUAAAUAUUUGAACUCAGUCACCUCCUCCAUUCUCUGUUACCCUAACCUUAUCCUACACUUUGUUAUGUUCUCUGCUCUAACUCUGUACAGCUUUGCAAAAUCAAUGACCUGCUCUUGCCCUCUUAAAUACCAUAAUCUUACUCUUUCCAGCAUUCACUCUGAGCUUUUUCCUCUUACACAGGAAUUCACCAUUUAACUUUGCUUUUCAGCACUUUUGUAUGUAUGUUUUUUUAUCAGGGAUUCACCAUUUAAGUAUCCUUUCCAGCAUUUUUGUAAGUAUUUUUUAUCAGAAAUUCGCCAAUAAAUUAUCUUUUCCAGCACUUUUUUUUUUUUUUUUUUUUUUUUUAAUCAGGAAUUCACCAUUUAGUAAUCACACUGGUCAACACACUUUUUGCUGACUUAGGUUUUGUGGUUGUUUUUAGCUGAUUUUAAAGUGCUGAUUUCAAAUAUGGCAUCCAUUUUUUGCUAACACAUCAGGUUUUCAUUCUAUGGCACAUCCCUGUUUUAUGAUGUACUGUAUGAAUAAUUUACUUGGUCAGGAGAGUUUACUAAGUCUUACAUCUUAAAUCCAUAAGUUAUAAUGUCAACAGAAUCUGAAAUGAUCAAUAAAUUGUAAGAUAACAUCACCUUUUAUUAAAUACAUCUGCUUGUUUUUUUGUUGUUGUUUUUUUACAACAAAGGAGGCAGCUCAAGGGCACACACACACACACACAAAAAAAAAAAAAUAAUAAAAAAAGCCUGCUACUCGCUACUCCUAAAAAAGAAACAAAAGAGGUGGCCGAAAGGAAGAUCAAAUGCGGGAGGAGAGGUGUCCUGAUACCCUCCUCUUGAAAGAGUUCAAGUCGUAGGCAGGAGCAAAUACAGAUGAAGGAAGAUUGUUCCAGAGUUUACCAGCGUGAGGGAUGAAAGAGUGAAGAUGCUGGUUAACUCUUGCAUAAGGGGUUUGGACAGUAUAGGGAUGAGCAUGGGUAGAAAGUCGAGUGCAGCGGGGCCGCGGGAGGGGGGGAGGCAUGCAGUUAGCAAGUUCAGAAGAGCAGUCAGCGUGGAAAUAUCGAUAGAAGAUAGAAAGAGAGGCAACAUUGCGGCGGAAUUUAAGAGGUAGAAGACUAUCAGUAUGAGGAGAGCUGAUGAGACGAAGAGCCUUAGCCUCCACUCUGUCCAGAAGAGCUGUGUGAGUGGAGCCCCCCACACAUGAGAUGCAUACUCCAUACGAGGGCGGACAAGGCCCCUGUAUAUGGACAGCAACUGUGCAGGGGAGAAGAACUGGCGGAGACGGUACAGAACGCCCAGCCUCGAGGAAGCUGAUUUAGUAAGAGAUGAGAUAUGAAGUUUCCAGUUGAGAUUUUGAGUCAAGGAUAGACCGAGGAUGUUUAGUUUUGAGGAAGGUGAUAGCUGGGUGUUGUCAAAGAAUAGGGGAUAGUUGUUUGGAAGAUUGUGUCGAGUGGAUAGGUGGAGAAACUGUGUUUUUGAGGCGUUGAAGGACACCAGGUUCUUCUUGCCCCAAUCGGAAAUAAUAGUAAGGUCUGAGGCUAAGCGUUCUGCAGCCUCUAGCCUUCAGUCGUUAAGUUCCUGAAGGGUGGGUCUUCUAUUAAAAGAAGUUGAGUAAUGCAGAGUGGAAUCAUCAGCGUAGGAAUGGAUAGGACAGUUCGUUUUGGAAAGAUCAUCAUCAAUGAACAACAGAAAAAGAGUGGGAGAUAGGACAGAAUCCUGUGGGACACCACUGUUAAUAGAUUUAGGGGAAGAACAGUGACCGUCUACCACGGCAGAAAUAGAACGGUCAGAAAGGAAACUGGAGAUAAAGGUGCAGAGAGAAGGAUAGAAACCAUAGGAGGGUAGUUUAGAAAGCAAAGAUUUGUGCCAGACCCUAUCAAAAGCUUUUGAUAUGUCCAGCGCAAUAGCAAAAGUUUCACCAAAACGGCUAAGAGAGGAUGACCAAGAGUCAGUUAAGAAGGCUAGGAGAUCACCAGUAGAACGCCCCUUGCGGAACCCAUACUGGCGAUCAGAUAGAAGGUCAGAAGUGGAAAGGUGCUUUAGAAUCUUCCGGUUAAGGAUUGAUUCAAAAGCUUUAGAUAGACAAGAAAGUAAAGCUAUAGGACGGUAGUUUGAGGGAUUGGAGCGGUCACCCUUUUUAGGUACAGGCUGUAUGAAGGCAUACUUCCAGCAAGAAGGAAAGGUAGAUGUUGACAGGCAGAGGCAAAAGAGUUUGACCAGGCAGGGUGACAGCACGGAGGCACAGUUUUUAAGGACAAUAGGAGGCACUCCAUCAGGUCCAUAAGCCUUCUGAGGAUUGAGGCCAGAGAGGGCAUAGAAAACAUCAUGUUGAAGAAUCUUUAUAACAGGCAUAAAGGAGUCAGAGGGGGGAUGAGUAGGAGGAAUAUGCCCAAAAUCGUCCAGAGUGGAGUUUUUAGAAAAAGUUUGAGAGAAGAGUUCAGCCUUAGAGAUAGAUGAGACGGCAGUGUUCUCAUAAGCGGAAAUUUGUUCCACGAAUAUGUUAGUUUGUGUACGAUUGUUUGUGCUUUAUCCAUUAUAUUUGAGAAUUAACCAGCAGGAGUGUUUCAUGUUUACACAGUCACUUUGAAUACUCCAACAGUAGUCUGCCAUCAUGUGUACGUCCCAUCUGCCUUGAUAUCUCUCCUCCAUAACCUUAAUAUCUUGAUGAAAGCGCUCGCCAUGCUCAUCGCUCACAUCUCCAAGAUUAGCAGGAAAUUCAUUGAGAUGGCUCUUGAGGAACUGAACCUUUAUGCUCAUGUUGCAGCCUAAGAGAUGACAGGUAUCAAGCAAUGUCUCCACCAAAUCUUGUAGUGUACUGCCUUUUUGCUCCCCAAAAAUCCUUUCACAACAGCCACAAAUGAAUCCCAUGCUCUUUUUCUACGUCAGUCUUCAAGCUCGAAAAGUUUUGCCAUUCCAUUAACUUCUUGAUGUGUGUCCCAUAAAAAAACACCAGCCUUUAUUUUAGCCAGGAAAUGUUGUACAUAUGAAUUUGACACAGUCACCCUCCACAUUAAAAGCUUUGACAAACUGUUUCAUUAGUCCUAAUUUAAUAUGAAGGGGUGGGAAGAUGAUUUUUUCUCACUCAACAAAGGGUUGGUGCAUGAUAUUCUUCUCCCCAACAGUCUAACUUUUUUUAACUGGCCAGAGUAUCUGUUCCCAAUGUUUGUCUUUUGCUCAGCGAUCCCAUAAAUGCAGGAAACAUGGAUGUUUUGUAUACCCUUUUUGUUGGCCAAGUAAAAAGUUGACCAUUUUCAGAUCCACACAUAUGACCCAUUUGUGUUCAUCAUACUUGAGUAAAUCUAAUACAGUUUUAAUGUGUUCAUGAUUCUUUUUAACCCAAGAACAGCGACAGACCUCAAUUGAGGCUUGCCCGAGGAGAGGCGACAAGCCUCAAUUGAGUGCGAUUUUUGAAUGCAUACAUAGAUGGCUGAAAAUUGGACUGGAUCAUGUAAUAUAUGGUAACACUCAGUAGGACUACCCACUGUCGCCCCCCACCCGCCCCCACCUCCAGCCGGCAGCAGA